RNAcentral lists this ribosomal RNA (266 nucleotides) under uncultured bacterium. RNAcentral's name for it is "partial 16S ribosomal RNA". It matches the Rfam family "Bacterial small subunit ribosomal RNA", at positions 793 to 1055 of the family's 1533-position model. The record is from RNAcentral.
GUCCACGCCGUAAACGAUGAGUGCUAGGUGCUGCGGGUAUUGACCCCUGCGGUGCCGUAGCUAACGCGUUAAGCACUCCGCCUGGGGAUUACGGCCGCAAGGCUAAAACUCAAAGGAAUUGACGGGGGACCCGCACAAGCGGUGGAGCAUGUGGUUCAAUUCGACGCAACGCGCAGAACCUUACCUGGGUUAAAUCCACUCGAACCUCGCAGAGAUGUGGGGGUGCUCUUCGGAGAGCGAGUGAGAAGGUGCUGCAUGGCUGUCGU